CAGCCGCCGCGGGAAUACGAAGGGGGCUAGCGUUGCUCGGAAUUACUGGGCGUAAAGGGAGCGUAGGCGGACAUUUAAGUCAGGGGUGAAAUCCCGGGGCUCAACCUCGGAACUGCCUUUGAUACUGGGUGUCUUGAGUAUGAGAGAGGUAUGUGGAACUCCGAGUGUAGAGGUGAAAUUCGUAGAUAUUCGGAAGAACACCAGUGGCGAAGGCGACAUACUGGCUCAUUACUGACGCUGAGGCUCGAAAGCGUGGGGAGCAAACAGGAUUAGAUACCCGCGUAGUCCCUGUCUCUUAUAA
RNAcentral lists this ribosomal RNA (301 nucleotides) under uncultured bacterium. Its description in RNAcentral is "partial 16S ribosomal RNA". It matches the Rfam family "Bacterial small subunit ribosomal RNA", at positions 509 to 809 of the family's 1533-position model. The record is from RNAcentral.